AGAGUUGAUCAUGGCUCAGGAUGAACGCUAGCGACAGGCUAACACAUGCAAGUCGAGGGCAGCAUAAAAGUAGCAAUACUUGGUGGCGACCGGCGCACGGGUGAGUAACGCGUAUGCAACCUACCUAUCAGAGGGGAAUAACCCGGCGAAAGUCGGACUAAUACCGCAUAAAACAGGGGCACCGCAUGGUGAUAUUUGUUAAAGAAAUUCGCUGAUAGAUGGGCAUGCGUUCCAUUAGGUAGUUGGUGAGGUAACGGCUCACCAAGCCGACGAUGGAUAGGGGAACUGAGAGGUUGGUCCCCCACACUGGUACUGAGACACGGACCAGACUCCUACGGGAGGCAGCAGUGAGGAAUAUUGGUCAAUGGGCGGGAGCCUGAACCAGCCAAGUCGCGUGAAGGAAAGAAGGAUCUAUGGUUCGUAAACUUCUUUUGCAGGGGAAUAAAGUGCAGGACGUGUCCUGUUUUGUAUGUACCCUGAGAAUAAGGAUCGGCUAACUCCGUGCCAGCAGCAGC
RNAcentral lists this ribosomal RNA (515 nucleotides) under uncultured bacterium. RNAcentral's name for it is "bacterial SSU rRNA". It matches the Rfam family "Bacterial small subunit ribosomal RNA", at positions 8 to 518 of the family's 1533-position model. The record is from RNAcentral.